Molecule: long non-coding RNA, 428 nt
Filed under: Setaria viridis
Lineage: Eukaryota; Viridiplantae; Streptophyta; Magnoliopsida; Poales; Poaceae
Description: long non-coding RNA (SVIR_LNC002391)
Source: RNAcentral
UAGUUGGCUACCUUAUACAUUGCACAUCUCCAAUGCAACAAACUUAUACCGCGAGUGUGCAUGCUCGCACGACAGAACAAUCAAUUGCGUGUGGUGGAUGCAGCGGCACCGGGGGCUGUUGAGACCUUCCCUUUGGGGCCGGUCAAGGUACCAGCCAAGCCUGGGUUGAUCUCCCCGGCAGAGUCCGUGACAACUUUGGCGGCCUGGGUGACGGCAGUGCCGUCGUUUUGGUGCACCGGGCCCUGAGCUUCCCUGACGCUGCCUGAGUCCACUAGCUGCUCGGCCAGCUUUCUACCGGCGGCUGCCACCGGAGGAGUGAGGGAGCACACAGCACAGCUGCACGACGACGCCGGCCAGAACAAGGAGCAGGACGACGGAGUUCCUGGCCAUGGCAGCCAUCAGAAACUAGCUGCAAUGGUAUGUCAGUA